UGAAUACGAGACGCUACGGCGUCGAAGCAGUCUAUGUCAGACUUCCAAGAAAAGCUCGCAAUGUCAUAAACAAAUAAUGCCUGUACCAUAACCGACACAGGUGGGUAGGUAGAGUAUACUAAGGGGCGCGAGAUAACUCUCUCUAAGGAACUCGGCAAAAUGACUCCGUAACUUCGGGAGAAGGAGUGCCUUAUUUAUAAGGUUGCAAUAACAAGAUCCAAGCAACUGUUUAUCAAAAACACAGGUCUCCGCUAAGUCGUAAGACGAUGUAUGGGGGCUGACGCCUGCCCAGUGCCAGAAGGUUAAAGAAGUUGGUUAGCAUUCGCGAAGCUGAUAACUGAAGCCCUGGUGAACGGCGGCCGUAACCAUAACGGUCCUAAGGUAGCGAAAUUCCUUGUCGGGUAAGUUCCGACCCGCACGAAAGGCGUAAUGAUUUGGAUACUGUCUCGGAGAGGGGCUCGGUGAAAUAGACUUGUCUGUGAAGAUGCGGACUACCUGCACCUGGACAGAAAGACCCUAUGAAGCUUUACUGUAACUUGAAAUUGAAAUUGGACUUUAUUUGCGCAGCAUAGGUGGGAGGCGUUGAGAGUAUUCUUGCGGGAAUAUUGGAGCCAUCAGUGAGAUACCACUCUUGUAAUGUUAGAUUUCUAACUUUGUAUCAUUAUCUGGUCAAAGAACAGUUUCAGGCGGGCAGUUUGACUGGGGCGGUCGCCUCCCAAACGGUAACGGAGGCGUACAAAGGUUUCCUCUGAACGGGUAGAAAUCGUAUCUAGAGUGUAAAGGCAUAAGGAAGCUUGACUGUGAGACCUACAAGUCGAGCAGGGACGAAAGUCGGUCUUAGUGAUCUGACGGUGCUGAGUGGAAAGGCCGUCACUCAACGGAUAAAAGUUACUCUAGGAUAACAGGCUGAUCUCCCCCAAGAGUUCACAUCGACGGGGAGGUUUGGCACCUCGAUGUCGGCUCAUCGCAUCCUGGGGCGGUAGUACGUCCCAAGGGUUGGGCUGUUCGCCCAUGAAAGCGGUACGCGAGCUGGGUUCAGAACGUCGUGAGACAGUUCGGUCCAUAUCCGGUGUAGGCGUUAGAAUAUUGAGAGGAGCCUUCUUUAGUACGAGAGGACCGAGAAGGACAUACCUCUGGUGUACCAGUUAUCGUGCCAACGGUAAACGCUGGGUAGCUAUGUAUGGAGAGGAUAACCGCUGAAAGCAUCUAAGUGGGAAGCCCACCUCAAGAUAAG
Molecule: ribosomal RNA, 1234 nt
Filed under: metagenome
Description: bacterial LSU rRNA
Rfam family: Bacterial large subunit ribosomal RNA
Source: RNAcentral